CCGGGCAUGGUAGUGGGUGCCUGUAAAUCCCAGCUACUCAGGAGGCUGAGGCAGGAGAAUCACUUCAACCUGGGAGGCGGAGAUUGCAGAGAUCGGGCUACUGCACUCCAGCCUGGACAACAGAGUGAGACUCUGUCUCAGAAAAAAAAAAAAACAAGUAAAAUUAAUUUUAAUAAUAUAUCUUAUUUAACCCAAUAUGUUCAAAAUAUUAUUUUUCAACUGUAGUCAGUAUAAACAUUAUUAAUGAAAUAUUUUACAUUUUUGUACUGACUUUCUGAAAUGUGGUAUAAGUGUGGAAAUUCUGGGUAGCAGUGUGGUCUCCUGGACAUUGGCCUAUUGUGUCUUCUAUUGGUUAUGUAACCCUGCAGGGUUAGAAUUAAGACACACUGUCCUGCAUUCAAGCCUAGCAUGUAAAAAAACCAAUACAGCAUAGAAGUUAAGAGCAUGGACUGGAGCUCCUACAAAUAGCGUGGCCUUGGUAAAGUCACUUAACCUCUCUGUUCUUCAGUUUCCUCUUCUGUAAGAUGGGAAUAAUCAUAGAGCUACCUUAAAUGAUUGUUUUGAGAAUUAAAUAAAAUUUUAAAUUAAAAAUAAAAAUUUCCUUUUUUUUUUUUUGAGACGGAGUCUCAUUCUGUUGCUCUGUCGCCCAGGAUGGAGUGCAGUGGUGCGAUCUCGGCUCACUGCAACCUCCGCCUCCUGGGUUCAAGUGAUUCUCCUGCCUCAGCCUGCAGAGUAGCUAGGACUAUAGGCAUGCGCCAUCACGCCCGGCUAAUUUUUUUAUUUUUAGUGGAGACGGGGUUUCACCAUGUUGGCCAGGCUGGUCCUGAACCCCUGACCUCAGGUGAUCUGCCUGUCUUGGCCUCCCAAAGUGCUGGGAUUACAGGCGUAAGCCACUGUGCCUGGCCCAGCAUUUACAUGUAUUAGGUAUUAUAAGUACUCUAGAGAUGAUUUAAAGCAUUUAUUCAGGAGGAUGUGCAUAGGUUAUAUGCAAAUACUGUACUUUUUUUUUUUUUUUUGAGACUGUGUCUCAUUCUGUCUGUCACCCUGGCUAGAGUACAGUGGAUGGUCACUGCAGCCUCAAUCUCCCCAGGAUCAAGUGAUCCUCUUGCCUCAGCCUCCCAAGUAGCUGGGAUCACAGUCAAGUGCCUCCAUACCCGGCUAAUUAUUUUAUUAUUUUUUUGUAGAGAUGAAGUCUCUUUAUGUUGCCCAGGCUGUACUGUGCUAUUUUAUAUGAAGGACUUGAGCAUCCUUGGGUUUAGGUGUCCUCGAGAGAUCCUAGAACCAAUCCCACACAGAUCCCAAAGGAAGACUAUGGAACCAUAAUUUUUUUUUUUUUUUUUUGAGAUGAAGUCUUACUCUGUCGCCCAGGCUGGAGUGCAGUGGUGCGAUCUCAGUUCACCGCAACCUCCACCUCCUGGGUUCAAGCGAUUUUCCUACCUCAGCCUCCCACGUAGCUGGGACUACAGGUGUGCACUACCAUGCCUGGCUAAUUUUUGUAUUUUUUAGUAGAGAUGGGGUUUUAACACAUUGGCCAGUCUGGUCUCGAACUCCUGACCUCAGGUGAUCUGCUCACCUCAGCCUUCCAAAGUGCUGGGAUUACAGGCAUGAACCUCAGCGCCCAGCCAGGAACCAUAAUUGCUUUCUUUUUUCUUUUUCUUUUUUUUUUUUUUUUUUGAGACAGGGUCUCACUUUGUCACUGAGUCUGGAGUGCAGUAGUGCAAUCUUGGCUCACUGCAGCCUUGACCUCCUCACUCAAGUGAUACUCCUGUCUCAGACCCCCAAGUAGCUGGGACUACAGAUGCAUGCCCCCAUACCCAGAUAACUGUUUGUGUUUUUUGUAGAGAUGGAGUUUCGCCAUGCUGCCCAGGCUGGUCUCCAACUCCUGAGCUCAAGUGAUCUGCCCGCCUCAGCCCCGCAAAGUGCUAGGAUUACAGGCGUGAGCCACCACACCUGGCCUAGAACCAUAAUUUCAAUAACAAUGAAUUUAGUUAUUUAUUUUUUGAGACAGAAUUUUGCUCUUGUCACCCAAGCUGGAAUGCAAUAGCACAAUCUCGGCUCACUGCAACCUCCGCCUCCUGGUUCAAGUGAGUCUCCUGCCUCAGCCUCCCAAAUAGCUGGAAUUACAGGCGCCCGCCACCACACCCAGCUAAUUUUUAUAUUUUUAGUAGAGGCAGGGUUUCACCAUGUUGGCCAGGCUGGUCUUGAACUCCUGACCUUAGGCAAUCCGCCCAACUCCGCCUCCUAAAGUGCUGGGAUUACAGGCGUGAGCCACCGCGCCAACAAUGAAUUUAGAGCCCAUGAUCAGAUAAAUACUGCACAUCCUACUUUCCAUAAUCCACAGUUUCUUUUUUUUUCCUUUCCUUUUCUAUUUUUUUUUUUUUUUGAGACAGGGUGUCACUUUGUUGCCCAGGAUGGCGUGCAAUGGAAUGAUCUCAGCUCACUGCACCUCCAUCUCCCAGGUUCAAGCGAGUCUCAUUCUUCAGCCUCCUGAGUAGCUGGCAUUACAGGCAUGUGCCACAAUGCCCAGCUAAUUUUUGUAUUUUUUCUUUUUUUUUUUCCUUUUCUUUCUUUUUUUUUUUUUUUUUGUGAGACACAGUCUCGCUCUGUCACCAGGCUGGAGUGCAAUGGCGUGAUCUCGGCUCACUGCAACCUCUGCCUUCCAGGUUCAAGUGAUUCUCCUGCCUCAGCCUCCCAAGUAGCUGGGACUACAGGCGCGCACCACCACACCUGGCUAAUUUUUUUUUUUUUUUUAGUAGAGACGGAGUUUCACCAUGUCAGCCAGAUGGUCUUGAUCUCUUGACCUCGUGAUCUGCCCACCUCGGCCUCCGAAAGUGCUGGGAUUACAGGCAUGAGCCACCGUGCCUGGCCAAUUUUUCUAUUUUUAGUAGAAAUGGGGUUUUGCCAUGUUGGCCAGGCUGGUCUCGAACUCCUGACCUCAAGUGAUCUGCUGGCAUCCACCCCACAAUGUGCUGAGAUUACAAGCGUGAGCCAUCGCGCCUCGCCCUGUUUCAUUUUAUAAUACCAUUAGGUGACCUAAAAGUAGCAAAUGUACUUUCCAAAAAAUUUUAGCUGGCUUUUUCUUUUUUUAUUUGGUUUGGAUUAAUAUAAAAAUGUUUUCAUUCCCUGCAGAUGCUGUUGACUGGGGCAAAGAAUAAUGGGAGAAAAACAGCUGGGUCCUAAAUAACAGAGGGAAACCAACUUUCAAUAAAGUAUUCAACAACUAAUCCACAAAGCAGAUAACUGAAAUGGAGUCUCACUCUGUCGCCCAGGCUGGAGUACAGUGGCGCAAUCUCGGCUCACUACAAACUCCGUCUCCCGGGUUCAAGCCAUUCUCCUGCCUCAGCCUCCCAAGCAGCUGGGACUACAGACGCCCCCCACCAUGCCCGGCUAUUUUUUUUUUAUUUUUUGUAGAGACGGGGUUUCACCGUGUUAGCCAGGAUGGUCUCGAUCUCCUAACCUCGUGAUCUGCCCGCCUCGGCCUCCCAAAGUGCUGGGAUUACAGGCGUGAGACACCGCGUCUGGCUAAUUAUGGUUAUUCUUAUCAUCAUCAUUUGAAAGAACAGUUGUAAAUAAAGAGAGUAAAUAAAUUAUCCUCCUUGUUCCUAAAAAGACGUUUUGUUAUAAAAGUCUUCUUUAUCAAUAAGAUGAAGUAAUGGAGGCAGGAGACAAGUGACAAUAAAAAACAGUCAUAAAAAAAGAACUGCAGAAACUAAGGUCUUAACCCAAAUUAGCAAAAGCAAAAUUGAAGCUCAAUUUUCAUUUUGGAAUAGCUCUACAAUUCCAUAAAUCUGCAAUUAAAGGUUUCUAGAUACCAAAGAGACACAAUGAAAGAGACAAAACAACAAAAAACACAUAAACACAGAUACAGAACUAGAGACUGCGACAGGUGGAGCACAUGACACAAUAGACUGACAGAGAAUAAAUCAAAAGAACAGAGAGGUGGACCAGAAAGAAAACAAGAAUUCAUGCUCUGUUUCACAGUAAUUUACGACUUCCCAAGCAGCCAGUUCUCCCAUCUCCCACUCUCCUUCCUUCCAGCUCCAUACAACUUACAUUAAAAGAUGCCAGGGCCUCAGAGACACUCUUCUCGAUGAACUCAUCAGUGAUUCUUCGGGAAGGAUGUUCAUUAAACACAGAAUUCAUUAGCGCAAUCUUUGCAGCACUCCUCCGGGCCUCAGCUUUUGUGGGGCAAAACUAGGCAGGGGAGAAAGAGUGAGAAUAUGUGUAUUUGUGCAUAUGAGAGAGAGGAAGGAACAGUGGGAGGGAAACACUUCAGAUAGAAAACACUUGGACGCUCUUUGGAUAAAUCAGUUGUGUUCAACACACUUUCCAAGGUUUUUAUGGUAAAGUGGUUGGGAUGUUUGGAAACAUAAUUUUGAUUCAACAUCCUGAAGUCAUUAAGGAACUGGGAGAGGGCUGUAGCUCAUACCAAACUGAAUGCAGAACGAGGAAGGCUGCUUAAGUCAGCAUAUAAUCACUGGUCAUGAAAAAUACCCGUUUAAACUGUCGACAGAAUUAGUUACUCAAAAGUCAGAUUCUGGCCGGCUUAAUAGAAAUCUGUAUCUUGUUCUGCGGACAGGUAAGGUUUUUUGGAUUCCUCUAGAUAACCCAAGAUUAGAACCAAAGCUGUGUCUAGGCUGCUUCUACAGAGGCCACUGGUCUCUAUCAGAAGCACCCAUCUUGGAAUCUCGGACUUCAUUUUUAGCUGUGAGCAGGCAUUUUCUCAAAUAACGUAGUGAGCCAAAGGAGCUAUCCCUGAGAAGGGUUUAAGUCUG
This 4775-nucleotide long non-coding RNA is filed under the name Homo sapiens (human). RNAcentral describes it as "HSALNT0014223". The record is from RNAcentral. Lineage: Eukaryota; Metazoa; Chordata; Mammalia; Primates; Hominidae.